GACGAACGCUGGCGGCGUGCCUAAUACAUGCAAGUAGAACGCUGAAGGAGGAGCUUGCUUCUCCGGAUGAGUUGCGAACGGGUGAGUAACGCGUAGGUAACCUGCCUGGUAGUGGGGGAUAACUAUUGGAAACGAUAGCUAAUACCGCAUAAGAGUAGAUGUUGCAUGACAUUUGCUUAAAAGGUGCAAUUGCAUCACUACCAGAUGGACCUGCGUUGUAUUAGCUAGUUGGUGGGGUAACGGCUCACCAAGGCGACGAUACAUAGCCGACCUGAGAGGGUGAUCGGCCACACUGGGACUGAGACACGGCCCAGACUCCUACGGGAGGCAGCAGUAGGGAAUCUUCGGCAAUGGACGGAAGUCUGACCGAGCAACGCCGCGUGAGUGAAGAAGGUUUUCGGAUCGUAAAGCUCUGUUGUAAGAGAAGAACGAGUGUGAGAGUGGAAAGUUCACACUGUGACGGUAUCUUACCAGAAAGGGACGGCUAACUACGUGCCAGCAGCCGCGGUAAUACGUAGGUCCCGAGCGUUGUCCGGAUUUACUGGGCGUAAAGCGAGCGCAGGCGGUUAGAUAAGUCUGAAGUUAAAGGCUGUGGCUUAACCAUAGUACGCUUUGGAAACUGUUUAACUUGAGUGCAAGAGGGGAGAGUGGAAUUCCAUGUGUAGCGGUGAAAUGCGUAGAUAUAUGGAGGAACACCGGUGGCGACAGCGGCUCUCUGGCUUGUAACUGACGCUGAGGCUCGAAAGCGUGGGGAGCAAACAGG
This 763-nucleotide ribosomal RNA is filed under the name uncultured Streptococcus sp. RNAcentral's name for it is "bacterial SSU rRNA". It matches the Rfam family "Bacterial small subunit ribosomal RNA", at positions 28 to 776 of the family's 1533-position model. Lineage: Bacteria; Bacillati; Bacillota; Bacilli; Lactobacillales; Streptococcaceae. The record is from RNAcentral.